AAAUUGAAGAGUUUGAUCAUGGCUCAGAUUGAACGCUGGCGGCAGGCCUAACACAUGCAAGUCGAACGGUAACAGGAAGCAGCUUGCUGCUUCGCUGACGAGUGGCGGACGGGUGAGUAAUGUCUGGGAAACUGCCUGAUGGAGGGGGAUAACUACUGGAAACGGUGGCUAAUACCGCAUAACCUCGCAAGACCAAAGAGGGGGACCUUCGGGCCUCUUG
This 220-nucleotide ribosomal RNA is filed under the name Salmonella enterica subsp. enterica serovar Anatum. Its description in RNAcentral is "partial 16S ribosomal RNA". It matches the Rfam family "Bacterial small subunit ribosomal RNA", at positions 1 to 217 of the family's 1533-position model. Lineage: Bacteria; Pseudomonadati; Pseudomonadota; Gammaproteobacteria; Enterobacterales; Enterobacteriaceae. The record is from RNAcentral.